GUCGAACGCUGGCGGCGUGCUUAACACAUGCAAGUCGAACGGAAAGGCCCUGCUUUUGUGGGGUGCCCGAGUGGCGCACGGGUGAGUAACACGUGAGUAACCUUGCCUUGACUUUGGGACAACUUCAGGAAACUGGGGCUAAUACCGGCUAGGAGCUCCUGCUGCUUGGUGGGGGUCGGAAAGCUUCGGCGGUUGUGGAUGGACUCGCGGCUUACUAGCUUGUUGGUGGGGUAGCGGCUUACCAAGGCUUUGGUGGGUAGCCGGCCUGAGAGGGUGACCAGCGACAAUGGGACUGAGGUACGGCCCAGACUCGAACGGGUGGCAGCAGUGGGGAGUAUGACACAAUGAGCGGAAGCCUGAUACAGCAGCGCCGCGUGCGGAAUGACGGCCUUCGUGUUGUGAACCGCUUUCGCUUGUGACGUAGCGUGAGUGACGGUAAUGAGUAAAGAAGCACCGGCUAACUACGUG
RNAcentral lists this ribosomal RNA (468 nucleotides) under uncultured bacterium. RNAcentral's name for it is "partial 16S ribosomal RNA". It matches the Rfam family "Bacterial small subunit ribosomal RNA", at positions 28 to 507 of the family's 1533-position model. The record is from RNAcentral.